Molecule: transfer RNA, 63 nt
Filed under: Fukomys damarensis (Damara mole-rat)
Lineage: Eukaryota; Metazoa; Chordata; Mammalia; Rodentia; Bathyergidae
Rfam family: tRNA
About the family: Transfer RNA (tRNA) molecules are approximately 80 nucleotides in length. Their secondary structure includes four short double-helical elements and three loops (D, anti-codon, and T loops). Further hydrogen bonds mediate the characteristic L-shaped molecular structure. tRNAs have two regions of fundamental functional importance: the anti-codon, which is responsible for specific mRNA codon recognition, and the 3' end, to which the tRNAs corresponding amino acid is attached (by aminoacyl-tRNA synthetases). tRNAs cope with the degeneracy of the genetic code in two manners: having more than one tRNA (with a specific anti-codon) for a particular amino acid; and 'wobble' base-pairing, i.e. permitting non-standard base-pairing at the 3rd anti-codon position.
Source: Rfam by way of RNAcentral
GCAUAGCUCAGUGGUAGAGUGCUUGCCUUCCAUACAUGAAGCUCUGGGUUCAAUACCCAGUGC